RNAcentral lists this ribosomal RNA (253 nucleotides) under uncultured bacterium. RNAcentral's name for it is "partial 16S ribosomal RNA". It matches the Rfam family "Bacterial small subunit ribosomal RNA", at positions 524 to 776 of the family's 1533-position model. The record is from RNAcentral.
GACGAACCGUGCAAACGUUGUUCGGAAUCACUGGGCUUAAAGGGCGCGUAGGCGGGCUCGCCAGUCAGGGGUGAAAGCCCACGGCUCAACCGUGGAAGUGCCUUUGAUACUGCGGGCCUCGAGGGAGGUAGGGGCGUGCGGAACUUCCGGUGGAGCGGUGAAAUGCGUAGAUAUCGGAAGGAACACCGGUGGCGAAAGCGGCGCGCUGGACCUCUUCUGACGCUGAGGCGCGAAAGCCAGGGGAGCGAACGGG